GACGAACGCUGGCGGCGUGCUUAACACAUGCAAGUCGAACGGAAAGGCCCUGCUUUUGUGGGGUGCUCGAGUGGCGAACUGGUGAGUAACACGUGAGUAACCUGCCCUUGACUUUGGGAUAACUUCAGGAAACUGGGGCUAAUACCGGAUAGUAGCUCCUGCUUCAUGGUGGGGGUUGGAAAGUUUCGGCGGUUGGGGAUGGACUCGCGGCUUAUCAGCUUGUUGGUGGGGUAGUGGAUUACCAAGGCUUUGACGGGUAGCCGGCCUGAGAGGGUGACCGGCCACAUUGGGACUGAGAUACGGCACAGACUAAUACGGGAGGCAGCAGUGGGGAAUAUUGCACAAUGGGCGGAAGCCUGAUGCAGCAACGCCGCGUGCGGGAUGACGGCCUUCGGGUUGUAAACCGAUGUCGCCUGUGACGAAGAGUGAGUGACGGUAAUAGGUAAAGAAGCACCGGCUAAAUACGUG
This 468-nucleotide ribosomal RNA is filed under the name uncultured bacterium. RNAcentral's name for it is "partial 16S ribosomal RNA". It matches the Rfam family "Bacterial small subunit ribosomal RNA", at positions 28 to 507 of the family's 1533-position model. The record is from RNAcentral.